This is an RNA transcript of Lepidothrix coronata (blue-crowned manakin), 2957 nucleotides long. It is a transcript of the gene named integrator complex subunit 9, with no coding region annotated. The transcript has 17 exons. Lineage: Eukaryota; Metazoa; Chordata; Aves; Passeriformes; Pipridae. The record is from RefSeq and is a predicted model, not a curated record.
UACUGCCUGUCAGGACAUCCCACCUUGCCAUGCAACGUGCUCAAGUUCAAAUCCACCACCAUCAUGCUGGACUGUGGGCUGGACAUGACGUCCACCCUCAACUUCCUGCCGUUGCCUCUGGUCCAGAGCCCCAGGCUUUCCAAACUUCCUGGUUGGGUUUUGAAAGAUGGAAGCACUUUUCUGGACAAGGAGCUCAAGGAGUGCUCUGGCCACGUGUUUGUGGACUCGGUGCCUGAGUUCUGCUUGCCAGAGACUGAACUGCUUGACCUCUCCACAGUGGAUGUGAUCUUGAUCUCCAACUAUCACUGCAUGAUGGCACUGCCCUACAUCACAGAGUACACAGGGUUCACUGGCACAGUCUAUGCCACCGAGCCCACUGUUCAAAUUGGCAGACUCCUCAUGGAAGAACUGGUGAAUUCCAUUGAACGCGUGCCAAAGGCUCAGUCUGCCUCCAUGUGGAAGAACAAGGAGGUGCAGAGGUUGCUGCCGGCGCCGCUGAAGGACGCGGUGGAGGUGUCCAUGUGGAGGAAGUGCUACACCAUGCCAGAAGUGAAUGCAGCCCUCAGUAAGAUCCAGCUCGUGGGAUAUUCCCAGAAAAUUGAGCUGUUUGGUGCUGUGCAGGUCACCCCCCUGAGCUCGGGCUACGCUCUGGGAAGUUCCAACUGGAUCAUCCAGUCGCACUAUGAGAAGGUUUCCUACGUUUCAGGAUCCUCUCUACUUACAACACACCCUCAGCCCAUGGACCAGGCUUCUCUUAAAAACAGUGAUGUUCUCAUCCUGACGGGCCUGACCCAAAUCCCCACCGCCAACCCGGAUGGAAUGGUGGGAGAGUUCUGCAGCAACUUGGCGAUGACUGUCCGGAACGGAGGGAACGUGCUGGUUCCCUGCUAUCCCUCUGGAGUGAUCUACGACCUGCUGGAGUGCCUGUACCAGUACAUUGACUCUGCAGGGCUCUCCAAUGUCCCUUUUUAUUUCAUCUCACCUGUUGCCAACAGCUCCCUGGAGUUCUCCCAGAUCUUUGCUGAGUGGUUGUGUCAUAACAAACAAACAAAGGUGUAUCUUCCAGAGCCUCCUUUUCCCCAUGCUGAGCUCAUUCAGACAAACAAAUUGAAGCAUUAUCCCAGCAUCCACGGGGACUUCAGCAAUGACUUCAAGCAGCCCUGUGUUGUGUUCACUGGGCAUCCCUCUCUGAGGUUUGGGGAUGUGGUGCAUUUCAUGGAGUUGUGGGGAAAAUCCAGCUUGAACACUGUCAUCUUCACAGAACCUGAUUUCUCUUACCUGGAUGCUCUGGCUCCGUAUCAGCCCUUGGCAAUGAAAUGUGUUUACUGUCCCAUUGACACAAGGCUCAAUUUUAUUCAGGUGUCUAAAUUACUCAAAGAAGUCCAGCCCCUGCACGUGGUGUGCCCGGAGCAGUACACGCAGCCCCCGCCCACCCAGUCGCACCGCACGGACCUGAUGGUGGACUGCCAGCCCCCGGCCAUGUCCUACCGCCGCGCCGAGGUGCUCACCCUGCCCUACAAGCGCCGCUACGAGAAGAUCGAGAUCAUGCCAGACCUCGCAGAUUCCCUCGUGCCCUUGGAGAUCAAGCCUGGCAUUUCCUUGGCAACAGUCUCUGCUGUGCUGCACACCAAGGACAACAAGCACGUGCUGCAGCUCCCUCCAAAGCCUCCCCAGCCUCCUGCCAGCAAGAAGAGGAAGCGAGUGAGUGAUGAUGUGCCGGAGUGUAAAGCUCUGAAGCCGUUGCUGAGCGGCUCCAUUCCUGUGGACCAGUUUGUGCAGACUCUGGAAAAGCACGGGUUCAGCGACGUGAAGGUGGAGGACACGGCCAAGGGCCACAUUGUCCUGCUGCAGGAGGCCGAGACCCUCAUCCAGCUCGAGGAGGACUCCACACACAUCAUCUGUGACAAUGAUGAGCCUCUGAGGGUCAAACUGAGAGACCUGGUCCUCAAAUUCCUGCAGAAGUUUUAGCUCCUGGACAUCCCACUGCUCCUGCAAGGAGAGAGCCCAGAGCGGGGAGACUCGGAGCUCUCUGCUGUUUUGGAAUACUUUGGAGGAGAUCCCUGUUGUGUAAAAUUGGGAGUUGGAAUAUUCCAGGAGCCACGAACUGCAGAGUGAAUUAACUCCAGUGCGUGUGUACAGCACCAGGGUAAACUGCUGCUCCUCUGUGUGACCCUCAGCAGUGUCUGCCCCAGUCCUUCCCCUGACAAAACUCUGUAGGAAUAUGGAAACAAUGGCCUGAGAGAUUUCUUUUUCCUCCCACUGUUUCUUCCCAGUCACCAGAUCCAGUUUUUCCUGUCCUCCAUCCACAUUGGACACGUGUACUGCACUGGCACGAGGAGGAUCAGAAAGCUGGUGAGGCAAAGAUUGUAGAAAUAAAAGCAGAAAAGGGGGAUCUGAUGGACAUGUGGAAUGUGGGAAGGGCCUGGCCAUUCCCUGCACAAGCAGAGGGAUGUUGGAAAAGCUUUAUCCUUUAGGAAUUCCAGGUGUUUGUUGAUGCUGCAGCUUCACCUCUUAUAACCACAUCUGUCCAUGGAGCUCCAAGCUCUUCACUGAGCCAAACUAAAGCUGGUUCCUGCUGGUUUCCUCCAUCAUCAGGGGAGGAAAUACCUCAGGAGGACACUUAGGGGAGUCCAUAAAGUGGUUACAUUCCUAGUGCUCAUAAAAAACCUUGGAGAUUUAAGUGCCUCUUGUUUCUACCUUCCAAAAAACUGUCCUUCCGGCCCCCACAUCCCAAAUCCUGGGUGGAACACUGAGUCAUUCACACAAAGCCAUCUGUGCUGCAGACCUGGGGAGGGUUUUCCCUCCCCAAAUCACAUAUUUUGGGGGCCUAAACUUAGUCAAUAGUUUUGCUUUCACGGGCGACCGAUUUCUGGGAUUUACGGCUGUUUGCUUUUUAUUGGGUUGUUUUGUAUUUAUUUGGUGUCAAAAAAAAUAAAAAGCAUUAGUGAGACUGCCAA